GUGCCAGCCGCCGCGGAAUUCCAGCUCCAAUAGCGUAUAUUAAAGUUGUUGCAGUUAAAAAGCUCGUAGUUGAACCUUGGGCCUGGAUGGCCGGGCCGCCUCACCGCGUGUACUGGUCCGGCCGGGCCUUUCCUUCUGGGGAACUUCAUGCCCUUCACUGGGCGUGUUGGGGAACCAGGACUUUUACUUUGAAAAAAUUAGAGUGUUCAAAGCAGGCCUUUGCUCGAAUACAUUAGCAUGGAAUAAUAGAAUAGGACGUGAGGUUCUAUUUUGUUGGUUUCUAGGACCGCCGUAAUGAUUAAUAGGGAUAGUCGGGGGCAUCAGUAUUCAAUCGUCAGAGGUGAAAUUCUUGGAUUGAUUGAAGACUAACUACUGCGAAAGCAUUUGCCAAGGAUGUUUUCAUUAAUCAGUGAACGAAAGUUAGGGGAUCGAAGACGAUCAGAUACCGUCGUAGUCUUAACCAUAAACUAUGCCGACUAGGGAUCGGACGGUGUUAGUAUUUUGACCCGCUCGGCACCUUACGAGAAAUCAAAGUUUUUGGGUUCUGGGGGGAGUAUGGUCGCGAGGGUGACACUUAAAGAAAUUGACGGAAGCGCACCACCAGGCGUGGAGCCUGCGACUUAAUUUGACUCAACACGGGGUACACUCACCAGGUCCAGACACAAUAAUGGAUUGACAGAUCGAGAGCUCUUUCUUGAUUUUGUGGGUGGCGUGCAUGGUCGUUCAUAGUUGCUGAGUGAUUGUCUGCUUUAGUUGCGAUAACGACCGAGUACUUAUCUGCUAAAUAGCCAGACCCGCUUUGGCGGGU
Molecule: ribosomal RNA, 808 nt
Filed under: uncultured fungus
Lineage: Eukaryota; Fungi
Description: SSU rRNA
Rfam family: Eukaryotic small subunit ribosomal RNA
Source: RNAcentral